CCCAACGGGAGAAGCAGGCAGAAGCCCUCUGGUUUGGGUGUUUAGCUGUUAAUUAAUUUUUUACGGGAUCGAGGCCCGUCUGU
Molecule: transfer RNA, 83 nt
Filed under: Stenocercus albolineatus
Lineage: Eukaryota; Metazoa; Chordata; Lepidosauria; Squamata; Tropiduridae
Description: tRNA-Asx
Source: RNAcentral